AUGGGCGAUCCCCCGUGUAAGAGUGAGGUGGAGGAGGACAUUCCAGUCCAUGUGACCACAGGAAAUGCCAAUAAGAACUCUGCGGGAACCAUCAUGUUAUCGCCGGUAGAAAAUGGAGCUAUCAUUCCGCACUCUUCAGGA
Molecule: long non-coding RNA, 141 nt
Organism: Bufo bufo (common toad)
Lineage: Eukaryota; Metazoa; Chordata; Amphibia; Anura; Bufonidae
Exons: 2
Source: RefSeq, a predicted model, not a curated record